Molecule: ribosomal RNA, 502 nt
Filed under: fungal sp. 2559 YZ-2011
Lineage: Eukaryota; Fungi
Description: eukaryotic LSU rRNA
Rfam family: 5.8S ribosomal RNA (bases 159-312)
Source: RNAcentral
UAACGGGUAGACCUCCCACCCUUGUGUAUUUAUACCAUGUUGCUUUGGCGAGCCGUGUAGUUUCGGCUAUGCCUUGGGCCUUCGGGCUUGAGCGUGCUCGCCAGAGGAAAACUAAACUCUGAUUAUUUUUGUCGUCUGAGUACUAUAUCAAUAGUUAAAACUUUCAACAACGGAUCUCUUGGUUCUGGCAUCGAUGAAGAACGCAGCGAAAUGCGAUAAGUAAUGUGAAUUGCAGAAUUCAGUGAAUCAUCGAAUCUUUGAACGCACAUUGCGCCCCUUGGUAUUCCGGGGGGCAUGCCUGUUCGAGCGUCAUUUCAACCCUCAAGCUCUGCUUGGUAUUGAACUUUUGCCAGCAAUGGCAGGUUCUAAAAUCAGUGGCGGUGCCGUUGGGUCCUGAGCGUAGUAAUACUUCUCGCUACUGGAUCCCCGCGUGCCUCUUGCCAAUAACCCAAAUUUUUUUAAGGUUGACCUCGGAUCAGGUAGGGAUACCCGCUGAACUUAA